This 2902-nucleotide ribosomal RNA is filed under the name Shigella flexneri. RNAcentral's name for it is "bacterial LSU rRNA". It matches the Rfam family "Bacterial large subunit ribosomal RNA". Lineage: Bacteria; Pseudomonadati; Pseudomonadota; Gammaproteobacteria; Enterobacterales; Enterobacteriaceae. The record is from RNAcentral.
UUAAGCGACUAAGCGUACACGGUGGAUGCCCUGGCAGUCAGAGGCGAUGAAGGACGUGCUAAUCUGCGAUAAGCGUCGGUAAGGUGAUAUGAACCGUUAUAACCGGCGAUUUCCGAAUGGGGAAACCCAGUGUGAUUCGUCACACUAUCAUUAACUGAAUCCAUAGGUUAAUGAGGCGAACCGGGGGAACUGAAACAUCUAAGUACCCCGAGGAAAAGAAAUCAACCGAGAUUCCCCCAGUAGCGGCGAGCGAACGGGGAGCAGCCCAGAGCUUGAAUCAGUGUGUGUGUUAGUGGAAGCGUCUGGAAAGGCGUGCGAUACAGGGUGACAGCCCCGUACACAAAAAUGCACAUACUGUGAGCUCGAUGAGUAGGGCGGGACACGUGGUAUCCUGUCUGAAUAUGGGGGGACCAUCCUCCAAGGCUAAAUACUCCUGACUGACCGAUAGUGAACCAGUACCGUGAGGGAAAGGCGAAAAGAACCCCGGCGAGGGGAGUGAAAAAGAACCUGAAACCGUGUACGUACAAGCAGUGGGAGCACGCUUAGGCGUGUGACUGCGUACCUUUUGUAUAAUGGGUCAGCGACUUAUAUUCUGUAGCAAGGUUAACCGAAUAGGGGAGCCGAAGGGAAACCGAGUCUUAACUGGGCGUUAAGUUGCAGGGUAUAGACCCGAAACCCGGUGAUCUAGCCAUGGGCAGGUUGAAGGUUGGGUAACACUAACUGGAGGACCGAACCGACUAAUGUUGAAAAAUUAGCGGAUGACUUGUGGCUGGGGGUGAAAGGCCAAUCAAACCGGGAGAUAGCUGGUUCUCCCCGAAAGCUAUUUAGGUAGCGCCUCGUGAAUUCAUCUCCGGGGGUAGAGCACUGUUUCGGCAAGGGGGUCAUCCCGACUUACCAACCCGAUGCAAACUGCGAAUACCGGAGAAUGUUAUCACGGGAGACACACGGCGGGUGCUAACGUCCGUCGUGAAGAGGGAAACAACCCAGACCGCCAGCUAAGGUCCCAAAGUCAUGGUUAAGUGGGAAACGAUGUGGGAAGGCCCAGACAGCCAGGAUGUUGGCUUAGAAGCAGCCAUCAUUUAAAGAAAGCGUAAUAGCUCACUGGUCGAGUCGGCCUGCGCGGAAGAUGUAACGGGGCUAAACCAUGCACCGAAGCUGCGGCAGCGACGCUUAUGCGUUGUUGGGUAGGGGAGCGUUCUGUAAGCCUGUGAAGGUGUGCUGUGAGGUAUGCUGGAGGUAUCAGAAGUGCGAAUGCUGACAUAAGUAACGAUAAAGCGGGUGAAAAGCCCGCUCGCCGGAAGACCAAGGGUUCCUGUCCAACGUUAAUCGGGGCAGGGUGAGUCGACCCCUAAGGCGAGGCCGAAAGGCGUAGUCGAUGGGAAACAGGUUAAUAUUCCUGUACUUGGUGUUACUGCGAAGGGGGGACGGAGAAGGCUAUGUUGGCCGGGCGACGGUUGUCCCGGUUUAAGCGUGUAGGCUGGUUUUCCAGGCAAAUCCGGAAAAUCAAGGCCGAGGCGUGAUGACGAGGCACUACGGUGCUGAAGCAACAAAUGCCCUGCUUCCAGGAAAAGCCUCUAAGCAUCAGGUAACAUCAAAUCGUACCCCAAACCGACACAGGUGGUCAGGUAGAGAAUACCAAGGCGCUUGAGAGAACUCGGGUGAAGGAACUAGGCAAAAUGGUGCCGUAACUUCGGGAGAAGGCACGCUGAUACGUAGGUGAAGCGACUUGCUCGUGGAGCUGAAAUCAGUCGAAGAUACCAGCUGGCUGCAACUGUUUAUUAAAAACACAGCACUGUGCAAACACGAAAGUGGACGUAUACGGUGUGACGCCUGCCCGGUGCCGGAAGGUUAAUUGAUGGGGUUAGCGCAAGCGAAGCUCUUGAUCGAAGCCCCGGUAAACGGCGGCCGUAACUAUAACGGUCCUAAGGUAGCGAAAUUCCUUGUCGGGUAAGUUCCGACCUGCACGAAUGGCGUAAUGAUGGCCAGGCUGUCUCCACCCGAGACUCAGUGAAAUUGAACUCGCUGUGAAGAUGCAGUGUACCCGCGGCAAGACGGAAAGACCCCGUGAACCUUUACUAUAGCUUGACACUGAACAUUGAGCCUUGAUGUGUAGGAUAGGUGGGAGGCUUUGAAGUGUGGACGCCAGUCUGCAUGGAGCCGACCUUGAAAUACCACCCUUUAAUGUUUGAUGUUCUAACGUGGACCCGUGAUCCGGGUUGCGGACAGUGUCUGGUGGGUAGUUUGACUGGGGCGGUCUCCUCCUAAAGAGUAACGGAGGAGCACGAAGGUUGGCUAAUCCUGGUCGGACAUCAGGAGGUUAGUGCAAUGGCAUAAGCCAGCUUGACUGCGAGCGUGACGGCGCGAGCAGGUGCGAAAGCAGGUCAUAGUGAUCCGGUGGUUCUGAAUGGAAGGGCCAUCGCUCAACGGAUAAAAGGUACUCCGGGGAUAACAGGCUGAUACCGCCCAAGAGUUCAUAUCGACGGCGGUGUUUGGCACCUCGAUGUCGGCUCAUCACAUCCUGGGGCUGAAGUAGGUCCCAAGGGUAUGGCUGUUCGCCAUUUAAAGUGGUACGCGAGCUGGGUUUAGAACGUCGUGAGACAGUUCGGUCCCUAUCUGCCGUGGGCGCUGGAGAACUGAGGGGGGCUGCUCCUAGUACGAGAGGACCGGAGUGGACGCAUCACUGGUGUUCGGGUUGUCAUGCCAAUGGCACUGCCCGGUAGCUAAAUGCGGAAGAGAUAAGUGCUGAAAGCAUCUAAGCACGAAACUUGCCCCGAGAUGAGUUCUCCCUGACCCUUUAAGGGUCCUGAAGGAACGUUGAAGACGACGACGUUGAUAGGCCGGGUGUGUAAGCGCAGCGAUGCGUUGAGCUAACCGGUACUAAUGAACCGUGAGGCUUAACCUU